This 1167-nucleotide ribosomal RNA is filed under the name Triticum aestivum (bread wheat). Its description in RNAcentral is "partial small subunit ribosomal RNA". Lineage: Eukaryota; Viridiplantae; Streptophyta; Magnoliopsida; Poales; Poaceae. The record is from RNAcentral.
AUGCUAGUAGCAGAGUGGAAUGCUUCCCCUGCUCGUCCUACUCUCCUCUUUUACAAUCCAUCUCAACCCAAGGGCUUCAAUUGCGACGGCAAUUCACAACAAAUCCAGCAUAAGCCAAUGUCUGACAACAGCAUUCAGCGAGCAUUGCUACCUGAGAACCCCGAUGCCAAUGUGCUCCAAAGAAAGCCGUCGCAAGGAGCCAAGCGGUUCCGAAGAUGCAGGUCGGCUCCCAGAUCAGAGACCGAUGAAAAACCACAAGAAAAUGGCUCGUCGCUUCCAGCCAAGGAGUUGUUCAGCGUGGUACGGCCCAGCUUCAGACUAGUAGGGUUCCUCCUAUUUCUCUACCUGCUAGUUGGCGUCGUAGUCUUUUACCUUGUCAUGGAUCAGUUAUCUGGCAAGAGAACCAACAGAGUGCUCGACGCACUGUACUUCUGCAUUGUCACGAUGACAUCGGUGGGCUAUGGAGACCUUGUUCCUAACAGCGACACGACAAAGCUGCUCGCUUGUGUUUUCGUCUUCACCGGCAUGGCGAUUAUUGCUCUCUUCGUGAGCAAGUCGGCAGACUAUCUCGUCGAGAAGCAGGAGGUGUUGUUCUUCAAGGCACUGCACAUGAAUAUGAAGUGUGGCGAGGCCAGAAUGCUCAGACAAAUUGAGACAAACAAGACAAAGUACAAGUUCUACACGGCCGCUCUGCUUCUUGUGACGGCCAUUGUUGUGGGGACUGUUUUUCUCUGGAAGGUUGAGAAGCUGAGCCUUGUUGACUCCUUUUAUUGUGUCUGUGCCACAAUCACUACCUUGGGUUAUGGGGAUAAAAGCUUCUCGUCCCAACUGGGGCGCACUUUCGCGGUGUUUUGGAUAAUUACAAGCACCAUAAUUCUGGCGCUCUUCUUCAUGUACCUCGCCGAGAUCUACACCGAGCGACGGCAAAAGAUGCUGGCCAAAUGGGUUCUCACACGGAGAGUAACAACCAUGGAUCUUGAAGCAGCUGAUCUGGAUAAUGAUCGGAAAGUGGGUGCUGCUGAAUUUGUCGUGUACAAGCUCAAAGAACUGGGGAAGAUCAGCCAAGAGGACAUAUCUUCUUUUCUAGAGGAGUUUGACAAACUCGACGUUGACCAGUCCGGCACACUCUCCACAUAUGACCUUACUCAGGCACAAUCCGGUCAGUGA